CAUGACAGCAUUGCAAAAUGUGCCUCAUGGAAACUUAUGAAUGACAUAUGUUACCAGGGAGUUGAGUUGGCUACAGAGCUAUGCAGAUGUAUUUUCUAACAAUGCUGCCAUCAACUGGGGGGGGAAACAAACUGCACCCAAACUGUCUAUCUGUUUUCAGGUUAAUGCCAGUUUUGUAUUUAUGACACUUGAACCAAUUCAAAUUGUGUCUUAUUAGUUGUGGGAGGCAUACUAUGUGUUGGGAUGUUUUAUCUGUUCAAUGAUUUGACCUGUGAGACUAUUCAAACAGUGUAGGUGUAUGCUGGUAAUGUUUGAAAUACAGUGAUGCAACUGUCAUUAUGCAACAGGUGCUUGUUUUCGAAGGUGCAAUAGUUGUUGGUGUCAAAGCACUUAAAAAGGCCCAUGAUUCAGAUACACAUAUGUACAGUUAUUUCAGUUUCAGUAGUGAUACGCACAGUUUGUUUUUAGAUUUGUUGAACACGUUUGCUUUUUUCAGCUCGCCAUAUCCCAGCAGCCUACCUUCACAGCCUUGCAAAUUUACAUAACAUGAGCCUGUUGAAAUGUUUGAUUCAUUGCCUGCGCAAUUCGUCGGUUGAGAUGAAAACAGUAAGUGAUGCAACAGAUGUUCUCUCUGUGUGUCACGCAGCCAGUAAAAGUGAUUUGGCAUUCAGGAUCUGAAAAAUUACCGCAUCUGCUGAAGUUGUUAUUUCUCAGGAACAACUAGCAUUUCAAAAUUGCCAAACACACGCAGGAAAUGUGAUGAUUUCAUUGUUAUGUUCAGAAUGUCUUUCUCGCUUUUACUUCGAAUGUAUCGCGUGCUACCAACCCUUCCCACCGUGAGUUGAGUGUUUUGUUUGUGUAAACAGUGGGCUGGUUAUGAAAUCCCUAUGAUGGUAAAUGCCAUGGACUUUAAUCACUUCAAUCAAGUCCUUGAAAUCAUUCAAGAUGAGUCCUUCUGUUUUCUGAAAGACCACAUUUAAAUGGAAUUAUGUGUCAUAGCUAUUGAAUAUUAGUACAAAUACUUACCUUCCUGUUUAGACAGUGUAAUUAGUUUUACAUGGAAUUAUGUGUCAUAGCUAUUGAAUAUUAGUACAAAUACUCACCUUCCUGUUUAGACAGUGUAACUAGUUUUUAAACUCUUUCUCAGUCGUGACGAGGAUGCGGCCUAAUCCUGCCAUCCUACUUUCCCUGCAAUGACUGGUCUGAAAGCAUGUGCCACUGGGCUAAAGGGUUUUACGCAUGCAUCAGUCGAAUUAUCUCCAUCUCUGUGAAUUCAACUUGUAAUGUGAUACAGAGUUAACAUUCUAAUGGCACUCUGAACAUGAGAGAGAGAGAACCAUGCUGAAGAUGUCCUCUAUUGUGGAAUCCCAUGCAGGAUGGCAGAGGGAUGCAUGUUAACCUCUAGAUGGCGCUCUGAUGAUAUAAAGUUUAUUAUGCUGCUCUUGAGUCCACUAACCAAGGAACUAUGCACAGGAACGCAUUAAUGCAUUGGACGGGCUCCCUGGAAGUAUUCAGAGACAUCUUUCAACAGGAGUACGACUGACUGAUCUAGUUCUCAACUGAGUAUAGUUGUGCUUGUAUACAUGUAUAGUUCGGGACCAGAAAUAAGUCAGGCAAUUAGCAUUUCACUUCUGGUCAACCUUCAGGACUCUAAACAACCUCUGUAGAAGUGUAUAUCAACAUAUUUUUACUUUUAAUUUUGACAUUUUGAGGCAAAAGUGUAAAUAAAUAAAUAAAACUACAGCCUCAAAAAUCAGUGAAAGAAAUCUGUUCAUAGAUUUGACUGUUUAUGUCUCUGUUUUUUUUCUACCCAAAGGGCACAAAAUGCCUACAGCCUUGGCAGAGACGGGAAGAAAGCACAGAUCCAUUCUCCUUGAUACAGGACAAUGGAUGAAACGACUCCCCAUGAAUCAUCCACGUGGGUGCGGAACCCUGCACAGGAAAAUCAUCAGUCUGUGACACAAGGUCCUUCAGAAUGGUCCAUGUUGAAUGUUUCUCUAUGCACGGAUCAGAAGCAUGUUUCUGCCUUGAAGUUGGAGCUGUCAACAUACUGUAUGACAAGGAAUUCAGAUCAAACCAUAGGUCUAAAGAGCUAACAAAGUAAAAAACAAACAAACAAACAAAAAAACAUUUGUUUCUAUUUGACACAAAUCAGAUUAUUCAAAUUUAGUUUUAUGAACAAAAUUGUAUGGCUUGUCUUGCUCCUAAGUGUCAGGUCAACAAAAGUGGGUAGAAUUUAUGCCUGCACAGCUCUUUUUAAAAAUUCUUUUCUUUCAAAAUCCAGCAGUUCUUUGUUAUUUCACAUGAGACUAUAUACUAUGUGCUUGUAAAAAAGGCAUCAGUCCAUGCACAGACAGAGGUCACAGACUUUAGUGGGUGACUUGGACAAGCAAGGAGAGAGAGAGAGAGAGAGAAAGAGAAAGAGAGAGAGAGAGAGAGACAGAGCUAUGCUACAGAUAGGAACAAAUUCCUGGAACUGCUGUAGCUAAGUGCAAAAUUGCUUCCAUGGUAAUUUUAGAAUAGUAUGCCAUGUUGUGACCCAAGGUUUUAUUUGAUAAUUGGAGCUGAAUUGAAUGGCAGCAUUAGUUGCAAAUGUCUGUGAUGGAGAUAUGCAGAAUUGCCUACAAAUAGUAUCUUUGUUCUGACUUUGAGGGCAGGAAACGGCAUGGUUUUCAAGGACUAUGGCCUGCCUUGCGUAACCCCACCCCACCCCUACUUCCAGAAAAAAAAGAGAGGAAUAAAGAAAGAACACCAGAGAACAAAUACAGUAGUCUACUUUGUGGACCUCAUGCGAGAGAAGCCUUUCUCAUCUAAUAGAUAAAUUUAAUAAACACAAAUAACACCGCCUAUGGUCAGACCUUCUGAAACUCGUCUUUCAGGCACAUAAAAGAGCACAAUCCCUGGCUGCAGUUAGCACGCAGUUCAAAGUGGCACCGGGAAGACCAAUACAGAUCUCAAUUGAUCCACUGGCCACAAUUAGUACAAACUGCUUGUAACUUGCUGGAAAGUAUGAUUAAGGUACGUAACUUCUAUCAAAUGUAGUCUGAUAAAUUGACUUUUAGGAGGAAAUAAAAAAAGGCAAUCAUGUAGAACAGCAUGAUGGAUUUAUCUGCCCAUAAUGGAUACACUGGUCAGUGUCUCACUCUAUAGGACCUCACGUAACUCUGGCCAACUAGAUAUCUGGUCAUUUGUAACGUUUCUCUGUCGUUACAUUUGAAGACGUCAGACAUGAACAAAACACAUGCUCAGGUAAUAAACUAAAAUAAAACAUUAAGAGUUGGUUAUGACACCAGGCAGUUUUUUUUCCCAUCUCUUGUCAAUAUUCAAUUUGAAUAGAAGUACAAGCGUAACUCCAGCGUAUAUACCCCCAAAUUACAAGGACACUUCAUAGGGACUAAUGGCACACACACUCUACAGUGUAGUGGCAUGCUGUGGGUGAUUGGCCAUUGGGCUGAAGCGACUCCCAUGUCUCACAUAGACAUACAUGCUGACUCAGCAUAGGCCUCAUCAUGCAAAGUGAUAUGUAGGGUAAGGACAAACAAACAAACAAACAAACAAACAAACAAACAAACAAACGAGAACAUUGCGAGGGAAUCCAUCAAGCUGAGCUGCCACCGUAUGCCUACAUGCCAAAUAUGUGUAGAAAUGCCAGUGAGCAGCUACAUGGCUAAAUUAGAUUCUCCUCCAUUACUGCACACACAAUGGCACAUUCACUAGAGGAGACACGCACACACACACACACACAGACACACACACAGACACACACACAGACACACACACAGACACACACACACACACACACACACACACACACACACACACACACACAAUCAUCUAUGGUGAUUUUCAGACUACGUACACAGCAUGAUGCCACCAGGGAAACAAGUUUUGUUAAGUAACCUUAAAUAAUGUGUUGUGGCUAUCUACUGUUGCUGUCAUUUAUACAAAAGGAAAGUCAUGUAUAUCCAUUGUACACAUGUACAUAAUAUGAUCAUGUAAAAUUCACAGUCGGACAAAUAAAAUCACUUCAACUUCA
Long non-coding RNA from Sardina pilchardus (European sardine), 4036 nucleotides. RefSeq lists it as uncharacterized. NCBI's taxonomy places the organism in Eukaryota, Metazoa, Chordata, Actinopteri, Clupeiformes, Clupeidae. The record is from RefSeq and is a predicted model, not a curated record. The transcript has 3 exons.